This 1510-nucleotide ribosomal RNA is filed under the name uncultured bacterium. RNAcentral describes it as "16S ribosomal RNA". It matches the Rfam family "Bacterial small subunit ribosomal RNA". The record is from RNAcentral.
ACGCUGGCGGCGUGCUUAACACAUGCAAGUCGAACGAGAAGAGAUGAGAAGCUUGCUUCUUAUCAAUUCGAGUGGCAAACGGGUGAGUAACGCGUAAGCAACCUGCCCUUCAGAUGGGGACAACAGCUGGAAACGGCUGCUAAUACCGAAUACGUUCUUUCCGCCGCAUGACGGGAUGAAGAAAGGGAGGCCUUCGGGCUUUCGCUGGAGGAGGGGCUUGCGUCUGAUUAGCUAGUUGGAGGGGUAACGGCCCACCAAGGCGACGAUCAGUAGCCGGUCUGAGAGGAUGAACGGCCACAUUGGGACUGAGACACGGCCCAGACUCCUACGGGAGGCAGCAGUGGGGAAUCUUCCGCAAUGGACGAAAGUCUGACGGAGCAACGCCGCGUGAACGAUGACGGCCUUCGGGUUGUAAAGUUCUGUUAUAUGGGACGAACAGGAUGACGGUUAAUACCCGUUGUCCCUGACGGUACCGUAAGAGAAAGCCACGGCUAACUACGUGCCAGCAGCCGCGGCAAUACGUAGGUGGCAAGCGUUGUCCGGAAUUAUUGGGCGUAAAGGGCGCGCAGGCGGCAUCGCAAGUCGGUCUUAAAAGUGCGGGGCUUAACCCCGUGAGGGGGCCCGAACUUGGAAACCUCCAAUUUCCGGGGAGGAAAACCGAAAUCCUAAGUUUUGCCGGUGAAAUGCGUAGUUAUAGGGAGGACCCCCAGUGGGGGAAAGCGGCUUUUUUGACGGCCAACUGCCGCUGAAGCGGCGAAAGCCAGGGGGGGCAACGGGGAUUAGAUACCCCGUUAUUCCUGGCCGUAAACGAUGGAUUACUAGGUUUAGGAGUUUUCGACUCUUUUUGUGCCGGAGUUAACGCAAUAAAUAUUCUUCUUGGGGAGUGCGGCCGCAGGGCUGAAAUUCAAAAAAAUUGACGGGGGCCCGCCCAACCGCUGGAGUAUGUGUUUUAAUUUGACGCAACGCGAAGAACCUUACCAAGCCUUGACAUUGAUUGCUACGGAAAGAGAUUUCCGGUUCUUCUUCGGAAGACAAGAAAACAAAUGGUGCACGGCUGUCGUCAGCUCGUGUCGUGAGAUGUUGGGUUAAGUUCCGCAACGAGCGCAACCCCUAUCUUCUNUUCCCNNCNCNAANNNNNNNNNNNNCNNNNNUUUUUUUUUUGAUCAUCCUGAUGAAGGCGGGGAUGACGUCAAGUCCUCAUACCCCUUAUGGCUUGGGGGGCACACGUAAUACAAUGGCUCUUAAUAGAGGGAAGGGAAGGAGCGAUCUGGUGCAAACCCCAAAAACAGAGUCCCAGUUCGGAUUGCAGGCUGCAACUCGCCUGCAAGAAGCAGGAAUCGCUAGUAAUCGCAGGUCAGCAUGGUGCGGUGAAUUCGUUCCCGGGCCUUGUUCACCCCGGACGUCACACCAUUGAAAGCUCAUUGACACCCGAAGCCGGUGAGGCAACCGCAAGGAACCUGCCGUCGAAGGUGGGCGCGAUGAUUGGGGUGAACUCGUAACGAGGUAGCCG